Molecule: ribosomal RNA, 440 nt
Filed under: uncultured bacterium
Lineage: Bacteria
Description: partial 16S ribosomal RNA
Rfam family: Bacterial small subunit ribosomal RNA
Source: RNAcentral
CUACGGGGGGCUGCAGUGAGGAAUAUUGCACAAUGGGGGGAACCCUGAUGCAGCAACGCCGCGUGGAGGAUGACGCAUUUCGGUGUGUAAACUCCUUUUAUAUGUCAAGAAAAUGACGGUAGCAUAUGAAUAAGCACCGGCUAACUCCGUGCCAGCAGCCGCGGUAAUACGGAGGGUGCAAGCGUUACUCGGACUCACUGGGCGUAAAGGGACGCGUAGGCGGGUUGGAAAGUCAGGUGUGAAAUCCUACAGCUUAACUGUAGAACUGCACUUGAAACUUCUAAUCUAGAGUAUGGGAGGGGGAGAUGGAAUUAGUGGUGUAGGGGUAAAAUCCGUAGAUAUCACUAGGAAUACCUAAAGCGAAGGCGAUCUCCUGGAACAUUACUGACGCUAAGGCGUGAAAGCGUGGGGAGCAAACAGGAUUAGAUACCCUCGUAGUC